Molecule: non-coding RNA, 29 nt
Filed under: Homo sapiens (human)
Lineage: Eukaryota; Metazoa; Chordata; Mammalia; Primates; Hominidae
Source: RNAcentral
UGGAAAGUGUCAGGAAGGGGUCUCAAGGA